GAUGAACGCUGGCGGCGUGCUUUACACAUGCAAGUCGAACGAACAGACGAGGAGCUUGCUGGCCGCACGUUAGCGGCGGACGGGUGAGUAACACGUGGAUAACCUACCUAUAAGACUGGGAUAACUUCGGCAAACCGGAGCUCAUAUCGGACAAGAUAUUGAACCGCAUGGUUCAAUAGUGAUAGACGGAUUUGCGGUGCCUAUUAGAUGGUUCCGCGCCGCAUUAGCUAGGUGGUACGGUAAAGGCUUACCAAGGCGACGAUGCGUAGCCGACCUGAGAGGGUGAUCGGCCACACUGGAACUGAGACACGGUCCAGACUCCUACGGGAGGCAGCAGUAGGGAAUCUUCGGCAAUGGGCGAAAGCCUGACGGAGCAACGCCGCGUGAGUGAUGAAGGUCUUCGGAUCGUAAAGCUCUGUUAUUGGGGAAGAACAGAUGUGUAAGUAACCAUGGGCGUCUUGACGGUACCUGAUCAAAAAGCCCCGGCUAACUACGUG
This 497-nucleotide ribosomal RNA is filed under the name uncultured bacterium. RNAcentral's name for it is "partial 16S ribosomal RNA". It matches the Rfam family "Bacterial small subunit ribosomal RNA", at positions 28 to 507 of the family's 1533-position model. The record is from RNAcentral.